Molecule: ribosomal RNA, 333 nt
Filed under: uncultured bacterium
Lineage: Bacteria
Description: bacterial SSU rRNA
Rfam family: Bacterial small subunit ribosomal RNA
Source: RNAcentral
CGCGUAGGCGGUUUUUUAAGUUCAGAUGUGUAAUCCCCGAGCUCAACUUGGGAACUGCAUCUGAGACUGGAAGGCUAGAGUACUGGAGAGGGUGGUGGAAUUCCUCGUGUAGCGGUGAAAUGCGUAGAGAUGAGGAGGAACACCAGUGGCGAAGGCGGCCACCUGGACAGUAACUGACGCUGAGGCGCGAAAGUGUGGGUAGCAAACAGGAUUAGAUACCCUGGUAGUCCACGCUGUAAACGAUGAACACUUGGUGUGGAGGGAGUUGACCCCUUCCGUGCCGGAGCUAACGCGUUAAGUGUUCCGCCUGGGGAGUACGGUCGCAAGGCUGAA